UGAUGACGCAAUGUGAUUUCUGCCCAGUGCUCUGAAUGUCAAAGUGAAGAAAUUCAUCCAAGCGCGGGUAAACGGCGGGAGUAACUAUGACUCUCUUAAUUUCGAUUUUCGACCAAUUUCCUUGACUCCGAUCCCCGCCAGACUUUUCUCUAAGAUUUUGGCUCGUCGACUUGCUCCAUCAGUUCUUCUGGAUCCGGAACAACGAGGCUUUAUCGAGUCCGACGGCAUAGCUCAAAAUACAUUUAUGCUGGACUUUGUUCUAAGACAUUCUCGGGAAAAAGUGAAGAGAACUUUCAUUGCCUCUUUAGAUCUCAAGAAAGCAUUUGACUCUGUUUCUCAUGAGGCGGUGUUCACCGCUUUAAGAGCUCAGGCGGUUGACCCCCGAUUUAUUGAACUUCUAAAGUCUAUUUAUUCUAACAGCACUACUUCAUUUGCGCCUUAUCCCGGCCAGAAGUUUAGAGUUAAGCAGGGCGAUCCGCUGUCUUCCAUACUGUUUAACAUGGUCAUUGACCAGUUAAUAAAGAAAUUAAAGGGUCCGGUAGGCCUGGAAAUUGAUGGUUCGGUGAUGUCGAUCGGGUGAAGAGCAUCCAAAUUACAGACAACCCCAAAUUAUUCUUUGCUCAAAAAUUAUACAAUACGGUUGACGGUGCGGCGCUGGCAAAUAGUGCCAAAGUUAGAAAUCAAAAUCUUUGGGUCCAAAGUCGGAAUAAAUUCCUUUCUGGAAGGGAUUAUGUGAACUUAUUGAAAACGAAGAUAGCCUGCCUUCCAACAGCAGCAAGAUGCGCAAGAGGCAGACCAGCCAAAGACAAAUUCUGUCGGGCUGGCUGCUCAAGGAAAGAGACACUUAACCACGUGUCUCAGGCUUGUCCGCGGACUCACGGUAAACGCAUCCAACGUCAUGAGGCCGUGGUAAAUUAUAUUAAACGUGCAUGUGAGAAUCGUGAUUUGAAGUUAUAACUGAACCCCUGUACAAGACCACAGUCGGCAAUCGAAAACCCGAUUUGCUCGCGAAAAAAGAUGGUAGGGUUCUAGUGAUUGACGCACAGGUCGUGGGUGACGCCGUUGACUUAGAGCGUGCCAAUAACCGUAAAAUCUCGUAUUAUCGGGAUAAUGUUGAUUUGGACAGACAAAUUCAAACGCAGCACGGCUCCCCCGACAUUUCAUAUCUUGGUGCAACAUUAAAUCUUAGGGGCGUCUGGUCGGCGAAAUCUGUUUUUGACCUUGUGGAAAAAUUUAAAGUCUUGAGCCGAACAGACGUCCCCGUAGUUUGCACCCGUGUCUUAUUGGGAACAUUUUCCGGAUUUACGAUGUUCAACCGGUCAACCGCUCGGGCCGCGCGGAGCAAGCACUCAUGAACCUGCACAUCUCGCCUUUUGUCAACAGCGCAGUCUGACGGAUCUCCAACGGACUGGUUCCUUGUAACUUCUUAUUCUUGUCAUUGUGUUACAUUUGUAAUAACUUGUGUAUUAUGUAUUGUCGGUUGACUAACUGUAAAGGGAUCCGGGCCCCCUUGAUAGGCCCGCAAUAUAACCUUUUUCUCUUGAAUAAAGGAUUUUAUUAGCCAAAUGCCUCGUCAUCUA
RNAcentral lists this ribosomal RNA (1580 nucleotides) under Araneus ventricosus. Its description in RNAcentral is "partial 28S ribosomal RNA". The stretch from base 1 to 209 matches the Rfam family "Eukaryotic large subunit ribosomal RNA", at positions 2179 to 2334 of the family's 3401-position model. The record is from RNAcentral. Lineage: Eukaryota; Metazoa; Arthropoda; Arachnida; Araneae; Araneidae.